Molecule: long non-coding RNA, 824 nt
Filed under: Rattus norvegicus (Norway rat)
Lineage: Eukaryota; Metazoa; Chordata; Mammalia; Rodentia; Muridae
Description: long non-coding RNA NONRATT031615
Source: RNAcentral
GUACAGUUUCUCAAGGCGUUUGUUUUUCAAGCCUUGGCAGUUGGCACUUUUCUUUUGAGAAAGCAGGAGUUGUUGGGGGCAGACCCUUAGUCUUAUUUCCAAGACUUGGGGUUUGGCUUAGUGUAGAAUUGUGAUCAUGAAAGCAGCUUUGGUUUACUGGUGGCAUAGCACUCAAAUAAAUUUGGGUUUAGCUAAAAGCCCUCAACAUAUAAUGAGGAUUACAAGUUAGGGAUCGGCCUGCCCCUGAAGCGUUCGAUUUCAUUUCGAUGGGCAUCUGGUAGGGCUCACUGCUUGCUGGGGGCAGAAGGCAGGCUUUUCAUCUACUGGAGCCUGCAGCCCUCAGGUACUCUGCGUGCUGGCUUUGCAUGUGGGCCUUUAUGCAGGGUGAAUAGCUCUGCAUUUGUUGUAGAAUCAAGGACUAAGUAAAGGGGAGAGAAGAGAUUACCAUUUGAGCACCCGGGUUCCCACUAAACCAAAGGUAAGCUCUUUGUAACUGUUGAUCUGGGGAAUAAAUCCUCCUUUGUAAUUCCACAGAUGCAGGAAGCCUCCUUCACACCAGCUCUUCCUGCACAGUUUCUACUGACCUUUCAAGUCUUGCAGACCUGCCAAUGUGAAACUUCUCUGACCUUAAUUGCUGGACGCCUUUCCAUCCCCCUCCUCUCAAAAUGGAAAAUGGAAGUUACCCAGCCACAGAAAAUCCGUGCACUGUCGGUGAUGAAUUGAAGGUUAAACGACAAAUCUUCCUCGAAACUAUUCCUGUUGUCUAGUCUAUGAACUGAAAACUGGAUUAACCUUUAAUUACCCUCAACGAUCUCUCAACCCCG